UACCCGGAGUCUGGGGCGUGAUAGCGGUGCCUAUAGAGCCAGAAGUGAUUGAGCCAGGCUGCCAAGAAAAACCUCUAAGUGAUGAUAUUUAGGUGACCGUACCGCAAACCGACACUGGUAGGUGGGUAGAGUAUACCAAGGGGAUCGAGAGAACCUUCGUUAAGGAAUUAGGCAAAAUGCCCCCGUAACUUCGGGAUAAGGGGGGCCUCUGCUGGUGAUACUAUUCGUUGAGCUGGUGGAGGCCGCAGAGAAACGGCUCUUUCAACUGUUUAACAAAAACACAGGUCUCUGCUAAGUCGAAAGACGAUGUAUAGGGGCUGACGCCUGCCCAGUGCUGGAAGGUUAAGGGGAGAGGUUAGCGAAAGCGAAGCUUUGAACCGAAGCCAGUGAACGGCGGCCGUAACAAUAACGGUCCUAAGGUAGCGAAAUUCCUUGUCGGGUAAGUUCCGACCCGCACGAAUGGCGUAAUGAGAGGAGCACUGUCUCAACGAGGGACUCGGCGAACAUUGAAGUACGUGUAAAGAUGCGCGUUACCCGCAGCAGGACAAAAAGACCCCGUGAAGCUUUACUACAGCUUGGCAUUGAGUUAGGGCUUAUCUUGUGUAGGAUAGGUGGGAGGCUUUGAAGCUGGGACGCCAGUCUCGGUGGAGCCAUCGUUGAAAUACCACCCUGGCUAAGUCUUGGCUCUAACCCGCGACCGUCAUCCGGCGUAGGGACAGUGCCUGGUGGGUAGUUUGACUGGGGCGGUCGCCUCCGAAAGUGUAACAGAGGCGCCCAAAGGUUCCCUCAGGCUGAAUGGAAACCAGCCGUAGAGUGUAAAGGCACAAGGGAGCUUGACUGCAAGACAUACACGUCGCGCAGGUACGAAAGUAGGGCUUAGUGAUCCCACGGUUCCAUGUGGUAGGGCCGUGGCUUACCGGAUAAAAGCUACUCCGGGGAUAACAGGCUAGUCUUGUCCAAGAGUUCACAUCGACGACAAGGCUCGGCACCUCGAUGUCGGCUCAUCGCAUCCUGGGGCUGGAUAAGGUCCCAAGGGUUGGACUGUUCGUCCAUUAAAGCGGUACGUGAGCUGGGUUCAGACCGUCGUGAGACAGGUCGGUCUCUAUCCGCUGUGGGCGCAAGGGAUUUGAGAGGGGCUGCCCCUAGUACGAGAGGACCGGGGUGGACAGACCUCUAGUGUGCCAGUUGUACCGCAGGUGCAUCGCUGGGUAGCUACGUCUGGCAGAGAUAACCGCUGAAAGCAUCUAAGCGGGAAACUUGCCUCAAGAUUAGAUCCCUCAUCCGUUAUGGAGUAAGACCGCUAGGAGACCACUAGCUUGAUAGGCGGCAAGUGUAAGUGCAGUAAUGUACUCAGCUAAGCCGUACUAAUGGUCGAGGGCUUACGAUA
RNAcentral lists this ribosomal RNA (1387 nucleotides) under metagenome. Its description in RNAcentral is "bacterial LSU rRNA". It matches the Rfam family "Bacterial large subunit ribosomal RNA", at positions 1546 to 2925 of the family's 2925-position model. The record is from RNAcentral.